GGCUUUAUAGUCAAUGAUGAUAUCAGACUGCAAUUCUGGAGGCGUAGAAACCUGUUCUACUAAGGCUU
Molecule: transfer RNA, 68 nt
Filed under: Filchneria songi
Lineage: Eukaryota; Metazoa; Arthropoda; Insecta; Plecoptera; Perlodidae
Description: tRNA-Cys
Source: RNAcentral